CUGAGUCACUACAGAGGAAACAAUGAGCUCAACACAGAAGGACCAACAUGGAGCGAGAAGUCAGUGCUCUCAGGAGGCCGACAAACCUCAAAGAAGAAAGGGAGAGAAAACAUACACCUGUGACGAGUGUGGGAAAGAUUUUACUGGGAAGGCUGAACUAAAACGUCAUCAGUUCAUCCACACUGGAGAGAGACCGUUCAGCUGUGACUUGUGUGGAAAGACUUUUUCCUCGAAGGGUUACCUAAGACAACACCAACUCAUCCACAGUGGAGUUAAAACGUACAAAUGUGAUCAGUGUGGUAGAGCUUUUACUCAAAGUAGCCACUUAAAGAGUCAUCUAGUUACCCACUCUGGAAUUAAGGCAUACAGCUGUGACAUUUGUGGAAAAACAUUCGGCCGGAUAGGGCACCGAAAUAGACACCUACGCAUUCACACCGGACAUGAUGUGUACUGCUGUGAACAGUGUGGCAAACAGUUUACAACACAUGGACAGUUACAACAACACGUUUACCCACACUGAGGAGAGACCUUAUAAAUGUGACCUGUGUGAGAAGACUUUUAAAGCUCCACGUUACCUGAGACGACACCAACAGAUCCACACCAGAAAGAGACUCUACAAGUGCAGUUACUGUGAGAAGCAGAGCGACACAGAUGGAUCCAGUUCUCAACCCUGUCGUCACUGUGGGAAAGAGUUUAUCUGUGACCUUUGUGGAAAAACUUUCAGUGAACAAUACACCCUAAAAAUACAUCAACGUAGACACACUGGAGACAAACUGAAAUACUGCAAAGAAUGUGGGAGAAGCUUCAUCACAUCAGGUGGAUUAAAAAAACAUGAACUGAUUCACAGUGGGGUUAAAA
Oreochromis niloticus (Nile tilapia) is the source of this 858-nucleotide long non-coding RNA. RefSeq lists it as uncharacterized. The record is from RefSeq and is a predicted model, not a curated record. Lineage: Eukaryota; Metazoa; Chordata; Actinopteri; Cichliformes; Cichlidae. The transcript has 3 exons.